RNAcentral lists this ribosomal RNA (426 nucleotides) under uncultured bacterium. RNAcentral's name for it is "bacterial SSU rRNA". It matches the Rfam family "Bacterial small subunit ribosomal RNA", at positions 356 to 773 of the family's 1533-position model. The record is from RNAcentral.
AGGGAAUCUUCCGCAAUGGACGAAAGUCUGACGGAGCAACGCCGCGUGAGUGAAGAAGGCCUUCGGGUCGUAAAACUCUGUUGCCGGGGAAGAACAAGUGCCGUUCGAAUAGGGCGGUACCUUGACGGUACCUAACCAGAAAGCCACGGCUAACUACGUGCCAGCAGCCGCGGUAAUACGUAGGUGGCAAGCGUUGUCCGGAAUUAUUGGGCGUAAAGCGCGCGCAGGCGGCUUCUUAAGUCUGAUAUGAAAUCUUGCGGCUCAACCGCAAGCGGUCAUUGGAAACUGGGAGGCUUGAGUGCAGAAGAGGAGAGUGGAAUUCCACGUGUAGCGGUGAAAUGCGUAGAGAUGUGGAGGAACACCAGUGGCGAAGGCGGCUCUCUGGUCUGUAACUGACGCUGAGGCGCGAAAGCGUGGGGAGCAAAC